GCCGGGCGUGGUGGCGCACGCCUGUAAUCCCAGCUACUCGGGAGGCUGAAGUGGGAGAAUUGCUUGAACCUGGGAGGCGGAAGUUCCAGUGAGCCGAGAUCACACCACUGCACUCCAGCCUGGGUGACAGAGUGAGACUCCAUCUCAU
Molecule: non-coding RNA, 148 nt
Filed under: Pan paniscus (pygmy chimpanzee)
Lineage: Eukaryota; Metazoa; Chordata; Mammalia; Primates; Hominidae
Also listed under: 1 other name
Source: Rfam by way of RNAcentral